Small nucleolar RNA from Arvicola amphibius (Eurasian water vole), 131 nucleotides. RefSeq annotates it as small nucleolar RNA U109. NCBI's taxonomy places the organism in Eukaryota, Metazoa, Chordata, Mammalia, Rodentia, Cricetidae. The record is from RefSeq and is a predicted model, not a curated record. The transcript has a single exon.
UCGCAUGCAGACGUCUGCCCCUCCUUUGUUUGGGAGUAGGAAUGUAUUCAUAACAUGCUACAUUGUCAAGGAGUUCUCAGGGCUACCACCUUAGAGUAGAGUUUGAGUAGUUGUAUAUUUCUCCUACAUUA